GCUUUUAAAGGAUAAUAGUCUUCCCUUGGCCUUAGGCGCCAAUAUCUCUUGGUGCAAAUCCAAGUAAAAGCA
RNAcentral lists this transfer RNA (72 nucleotides) under Amolops larutensis (Larut sucker frog). Its description in RNAcentral is "tRNA-Leu(CUN)". The record is from RNAcentral. Lineage: Eukaryota; Metazoa; Chordata; Amphibia; Anura; Ranidae.